This 497-nucleotide ribosomal RNA is filed under the name uncultured bacterium. RNAcentral's name for it is "bacterial SSU rRNA". It matches the Rfam family "Bacterial small subunit ribosomal RNA", at positions 28 to 504 of the family's 1533-position model. The record is from RNAcentral.
GACGAACGCUGGCGGCGUGCCUAAUACAUGCAAGUCGUGCGGACCUUUUAAAAGCUUGCUUUUAACAAGGCUAGCGGCGGACGGGUGAGUAACACGUGGGCAACCUGCCUGUAAGACCGGGAUAACGCCGGGAAACCGGGGCUAAUACCGGAUAGUUUUUUCCUCCGCAUGGAGGAAAAAGGAAAGGCGGCUUCGGCUGCCACUUACAGAUGGGCCCGCGGCGCAUUAGCUAGUUGGUGGGGUAACGGCCCACCAAGGCAACGAUGCGUAGCCGACCUGAGAGGGUGAUCGGCCACAUUGGGACUGAGACACGGCCCAAACUCCUACGGGAGGCAGCAGUAGGGAAUCUUCCGCAAUGGACGAAAGUCUGACGGAGCAACGCCGCGUGAGUGAAGAAGGCCUUCGGGUCGUAAAACUCUGUUGCCGGGGAAGAACAAGUGCCGUUCGAACAGGGCGGCGCCUUGACGGUACCCGGCCAGAAAGCCACGGCUAACUAC